This 23-nucleotide non-coding RNA is filed under the name Arabidopsis thaliana (thale cress). The record is from RNAcentral. Lineage: Eukaryota; Viridiplantae; Streptophyta; Magnoliopsida; Brassicales; Brassicaceae. RNAcentral also lists the same sequence under 1 other name.
GGGCGAGAGUAGUACUAGGAUGG